This 541-nucleotide ribosomal RNA is filed under the name Salmonella enterica subsp. enterica serovar Agona. RNAcentral describes it as "partial 23S ribosomal RNA". It matches the Rfam family "Bacterial large subunit ribosomal RNA", at positions 1 to 581 of the family's 2925-position model. Lineage: Bacteria; Pseudomonadati; Pseudomonadota; Gammaproteobacteria; Enterobacterales; Enterobacteriaceae. RNAcentral also lists the same sequence under 19 other names. The record is from RNAcentral.
GGUUAAGCGACUAAGCGUACACGGUGGAUGCCCUGGCAGUCAGAGGCGAUGAAGGGCGUGCUAAUCUGCGAUAAGCGCCGGUAAGGUGAUAUGAACCGUUAUAACCGGCGAUACCCGAAUGGGGAAACCCAGUGUGACUCGUCACACUAUCAUUAACUGAAUCCAUAGGUUAAUGAGGCGAACCGGGGGAACUGAAACAUCUAAGUACCCCGAGGAAAAGAAAUCAACCGAGAUUCCCCCAGUAGCGGCGAGCGAACGGGGAGGAGCCCAGAGCCUGAAUCAGCAUGUGUGUUAGUGGAAGCGUCUGGAAAGGCGCGCGAUACAGGGUGACAGCCCCGUACACAAAAGCGCAUGUGCUGUGAGCUCGAUGAGUAGGGCGGGACACGUGGUAUCCUGUCUGAAUAUGGGGGGACCAUCCUCCAAGGCUAAAUACUCCUGACUGACCGAUAGUGAACCAGUACCGUGAGGGAAAGGCGAAAAGAACCCCGGCGAGGGGAGUGAAAAAGAACCUGAAACCGUGUACGUACAAGCAGUGGGAGCA